CAGCCGUAAACUAUGCGCGUUAGGUGUAUCGGUGACCACGAGUCACCGAGGUGCCGAAGGGAAACCGUGAAACGUGCCGCCUGGGAAGUACGGUCGCAAGGCUGAAACUUAAAGGAAUUGGCGGGGGAGCACCACAACAGGUGGAGCCUGCGGUUUAAUUGGACUCAACGCCGGGAAGCUCACCGGAUAGGACAGCAGAAUGAUUGCCGGGCUGAAGACCCUGCAUGACUAGCUGAGAGGAGGUGCAUGGCGUAGACGUCU
RNAcentral lists this ribosomal RNA (261 nucleotides) under uncultured archaeon. RNAcentral's name for it is "partial 16S ribosomal RNA". It matches the Rfam family "Archaeal small subunit ribosomal RNA", at positions 748 to 1009 of the family's 1478-position model. The record is from RNAcentral.